UGGGGAAUAUUGCACAAUGGGCGCAAGCCUGAUGCAGCCAUGCCGCGUGUGUGAAGAAGGCCUUCGGGUUGUAAAGCACUUUCAGCGAGGAGGAAGGUGGUGAGCUUAAUACGCUCAUCAAUUGACGUUACUCGCAGAAGAAGCACCGGCUAACUCCGUGCCAGCAGCCGCGGUAAUACGGAGGGUGCAAGCGUUAAUCGGAAUUACUGGGCGUAAAGCGCACGCAGGCGGUUUGUUAAGUCAGAUGUGAAAUCCCCGGGCUCAACCUGGGAACUGCAUUUGAAACUGGCAAGCUAGAGUCUCGUAGAGGGGGGUAGAAUUCCAGGUGUAGCGGUGAAAUGCGUAGAGAUCUGGAGGAAUACCGGUGGCGAAGGCGGCCCCCUGGACGAAGACUGACGCUCAGGUGCGAAAGCGUGGGGCAGCAAACAGGAUUAGAUACCCUGGUAGUCCACGCUGUAAACGAUGUCGAUUUUGGAGGUUGUGCCCUUGAGGCGUGGCUUCCGGAGCUAACGCGUUAAAUCGACCG
Molecule: ribosomal RNA, 526 nt
Filed under: uncultured bacterium
Lineage: Bacteria
Description: partial 16S ribosomal RNA
Rfam family: Bacterial small subunit ribosomal RNA
Source: RNAcentral